RNAcentral lists this non-coding RNA (121 nucleotides) under uncultured eukaryote. The record is from RNAcentral.
AGUGGAAAGAGAAAAGGAAAAAAGAGGAACAUGCCCUCUUUCUUGGACAUUUUUUUUUUGGACAUUCUUUUGGACACACGCGCCUCCCUUUUUUGAGUUAUUUCAGUUCUUUCUUUCAUCU